This is a non-coding RNA of Parasteatoda tepidariorum (common house spider), 1520 nucleotides long. NCBI's taxonomy places the organism in Eukaryota, Metazoa, Arthropoda, Arachnida, Araneae, Theridiidae. The record is from RefSeq and is a predicted model, not a curated record.
UUUUAUUAUAUUAUGUUUAUUUUAUACAAAGUUUAUCCUGAAAUGUGUUGUGAGAAUUUAUUAUAAAAUGUUUAAAAGGAAGCAGGUGAAAAGUCAGUGCUUUUCAAAAAACAUGAAAUAAGCCACUAACUUUUUAUUAAAAAUACCUAGCGAUUCUUAGGAAAGGAGGCAAAAAUUGUCCUUUGCAGCCGCUGUUCGAAUUUCAGGACGCUAGUACAAACAAUUCUAAAGUUAGAUGUACACACACAAAAUCUUCAUUUUAUUAUACAUAAAUGUCAGUUUGUAUGUUAAAGAAUAAGGGUCUGGAAGUUAUGUUUUACUGUCAAUUGUCUUAUUUCUACUUACAAUUUUAAAUUAUGUUCCCCCAUUUUUUAUAAAUGAAAUAAGUACAAUUAGGUAAUGUUUUUAUUUUAUAAAUUUUUAACAAAAUGUGUUUUUUAAAUAAUCUUAAAUGUAGCUUAUAUUUUAUUUUAAAUUAUUAAAGUAAAGUUAAUCAAAUCCUUAGAAAGCAACUAAAAAAAAUUAUAUUUUCAAUUGGUCAUUUUUAAGAUAAAAUCUUAGGCAGAAAAACUCUUGUAGUUGUUAUAGUUUAGUAAUUCAGGAAACAUUCCUUAAAGAGAGAGAAAGAUUCAUUAGAGAGGGAAAGAUUAUAAUGCCUGGGAAAACAAACCUUACAGUUUAUUAGUUAGGCUGAUAUUAUUUUGAAACUAGUAUGCAUGUGAAUUUGAUCUAAAUGUUGACUGAUAUUUAUACUUUUCAUCACUUACUAUAAUUCAUCAAUUUAGGUUAUGAUGAUGCUAUAAAAUUCAAUGAAGAAUCUAGUUUUACUGUUUCAGUUGAUAAUACUGUUUGUGCUUGGGAUUGCCGUAGCAAGUCUUGCGAGCCUAUUCAGUUUGUCAGUGAAAGGUCCUUUGAAAAUUUUCAAAUUCUGGCAUAUAAGUAACAGUUGAAGUAAAUUGUUGAGAUAGAGAGAACUUUUUAUCUUGGUUCAGUGAACUGUGUUAACUUCACAAAAUAUGUCUGUGUUCUUGCUAGCUGUUUAGACAAUACUUUGCGACUUACAGAUAAAGAAGGGGGUGAAGUGCGUUCUGAGCACACAGGCCAUAAAAAUGAGAGGUAAAGGAUAGAAAGUUUCCUCAAUGACACAAAUUCUCACGCAGUUUCUGGAUCUGAAGAUGGUUGUGUUUACAUGAGGGACCUAAUUGAACAAACACGAAAAAGAAAUUUCCCUGCUUGGGUUACCAACACAGUAGCUGGGAUUGAAAGAAGGCAUCGAGAGAAGAUGGAAAUUUUUAACAAAUACUUAAACUUUGUAUCGAAAAUUGAAAAAUGAUUUAACACUUAUUUUAAAAUCUUGCAACAGACUUCUCUCCUUGUAACGAUUUCUGUGUUUAAAUAUUUUAUUAUUUUUAAUUUGGUGCUUUUCAAAAACACUUUUUCAUCAAACUUCUUAAAAAAUUUAAUACAAAUAUUUGUUAUUCACCCGUAUCAGUUUAAAUAUUAAAGCUAUUAAUAGAAAU